UGUGCCGUCACAGAAGCCAUCGGGGAGAGCUGUAAAAAAGUCCAUCAGAUCAGGGUCAUUUUUUGAGAGGAGUAGAAUAAGUCUAAACACCUGGCUAAUGUGUAUAUAUACAGAUUUUUCCAAGGGUUGAGGCUGUGCCAAACUGACAUGUUGCAGGACGGGAAUUCAUAAAGUACACACACACUGUCCAAAAUGAGCAAGAAACUGUGAAAUGUCUGCAUCCUGCAAUGAAGAGAAAGGGGAAGACAGGACAGCAGCUUGAUCCUCAUGAAUUUGUGAUGAUAGAUGAAAGCAACUUCUGCCAUAAACGGAAGUAUGGCCGAGGGCGAUACGGCAAGACAUGCAGGAGAUGAAAGUGGGUUUUCGGAAUGCUAGGCAUCAAAGGAGAAAGAGGGCUGCCAGUUCUCAGACUUGUGAAGAAACGCUCUCGGUGCCAUCUGCUCCCAGUCAUCAGAAGACAUGUUUGUCGGGGAUCAACAAUUAUAAGUGAUCAGUGGCGGGCAUACAUGGGUGCACUUGCCACUGCUGGGUACACCCAUUUCUCUGUGAACCACAGGAGGAGCUUUAUUGAUCCUAACAGUGGAGGACAUACUCAGAACACUGAGAGGGCUGGGGGAUUUACAAAUCCAAAUAUGGCAACUGAGAGGAAACAGGAAUGAGUCUCUUUUGAAGGAGCACUUGACAUUUAUUGAAUGGACAUAUCGGCAAGGCUGUAGGCACGAGUAUGGUCCUUUGGGACGUUUACUGAAGGACAUAUGUCAACAGUUUACAGAGUAAUGAAAUGAGAAAGAAAAAUUAGGUGUUAAUGUAUCAGAAAAUUGAUUAUCAGUUAUAACCAAUACUGUUAAGGAGGGCUGCAACUAACGAUUAUUUUCAUUAUCGAUUCAUCUGUC
Thunnus maccoyii (southern bluefin tuna) is the source of this 893-nucleotide long non-coding RNA. RefSeq lists it as uncharacterized. The record is from RefSeq and is a predicted model, not a curated record. The transcript is spliced from 3 exons. Lineage: Eukaryota; Metazoa; Chordata; Actinopteri; Scombriformes; Scombridae.